This is a non-coding RNA of Pelobates cultripes (western spadefoot toad), 6553 nucleotides long. NCBI's taxonomy places the organism in Eukaryota, Metazoa, Chordata, Amphibia, Anura, Pelobatidae. The record is from the annotation of a GenBank genome assembly.
CAUGCUCAGUGCCGGCUCCCUGUCCCCCUCUCGUGCCGUGGUGACGGAGCUCCCAGUGCAGCCAAUCUCGGAGCCCUUUCCCCGGCUGUGGGUCGGCCCUGCGGGUUGUGCUGGGGGUAGUGGGGGUGUGACCUGGCUGACAGGCGGAGGUGGUAAUCCUGGCUCUAUCUAUCUAUCGGCUGUGUGUGCGCUGGGAGCAUCCUGUAUCCUCUGGGGGUACCCGUGAGAGCCAGCCAGGGACCUGAUACCCAGUGUGUGCCCACUGACCUGUGCCCAGCUCCUGCCCAGCUCCUGCCCAGCUCCUGCCAGCCCUCCCUCCUUUCUCUCCCGAGUUCACUCACACUAUUUCCCGUGAGCCUGGGGAACUUGCAGCCCAAAGUCAGCCAGCCCAGCAGCAUGUACCCCAGCAACAAGAAGAAAAAGCUAUGGAGAGAGGAGAAAGGUAGAUACCAGCCAUUGUGCUCAGUGAUGGAGACUGCCCAGGGUGUCUGCUCCCCAGCCUGGCUCAGUGAUGGAGACUGCCCAUGGUGUCUGCCCCCAGCAUGGCUCAGUGAUGGAGACUGCCCAUGGUGUCUGCUCCCAGCCUGGCUCAGUGAUGGAGACUGCCCAUGGUGUCUGCUCCCCAGCCUGGCUCAGUGAUGGAGACUGCCCAUGGUGUCUGCCCCCAGCCUGGCUCAGUGAUGGAGACUGCCCAGGGUGUGCUCCCCAGCCUGGCUCAGUGAUGGAGACUGCCCAUGGUGUCUGCCCCCAGCAUGGCUCAGUGAUGGAGACUGCCCAUGGUGUCUGCUCCACAGCCUGGCUCAGUGAUGGAGACUGCCCAUGGUGUUUGCCCCCAGCAUGGCUCAGUGAUGGAGACUGCCCAUGGUGUCUGCCCCCAGCAUGGCUCAGUGAUGGAGACUGCCCAUGGUGUCUGCUCCCCAGCCUGGCUCAGUGAUGGAGACUGCCCAUGGUGUCUGCUCCCAGCUUGGCUCAGUGAUGGAGACUGCCCAUGGUGUCUGCUCCCAGCAUGGCUCAGUGAUGGAGACUGCCCAUGGUGUCUGCUCCCCAGCCUGGCUCAGUGAUGGAGACUGCCCAUGGUGUCUGCUCCCAGCCUGGCUCAGUGAUGGAGACUGCCCAUGGUGUCUGCUCCCCAGCCUGGCUCAGUGAUGGAGACUGCCCAUGGUGUCUGCUCCCAGCCUGGCUCAGUGAUGGAGACUGCCCAUGGUGUCUGCUCCCAGCCUGGCUCAGUGAUGGAGACUGCCCAUGGUGUCUGCUGCCCAUGGUGUCUGCUCCCAGCCUGACUCAGUGAUGGAGACUGCCCAUGGUGUCUGCUCCCAGCCUGGCUCAGUGAUGGAGACUGCCCAUGGUGUCUGCUCCCAGCCUGGCUCAGUGAUGGAGACUGCCCAUGGUGUCUCUUCCCAGCAUGUAUCCUGACAUUGGGGGCACUGACCAGGGUCCUGAUCACACUGUGGAUGGACUCCAACUCCCACUGCUCUUAUUGUUAUUGGUGGCCACCAGGCUGGCUGCAGGACAUGUGGCUACAAUAACAUGGAAUCAGGGUGACAUUCCCAGGAUGCUAUGGGUGACCAGGGGCCACCAGGCUGGCUACAGGACAUGUGGCUAGCAUAACAUGGAAUCAGGAUGACAUUCCCAGGAUGCUUUAGGCGGCAGGGGGCCACCAGGCUGGCUACAGGACAUGUGGCUAGCAUAACAUGGAAUCAGGGUGACAUUCCCAGGAUCCUUUGGGUGACAGGGGGCCAACAGGCUGGCUGCAGGACAUGUGGCUACAGUAACAUGGAAUCAGGGUGACAUUCCCAGGAUCCUUUGGGUGACAGGUGGCCUUGCAUGCUGGGUAUAAUACAUGUGGCUAGCAUAACAUGGAAUCAGGGUGACAUUCCCAGGAUCCUUUGGGUGACAGGUGGCCUUGCAGGCUGGGUAUAGUACAUGUGGCUAGCAUAACAUGGGACUAGGGUUCCUUUCCCAGAAUUCUUUGAGUAGCAGGGUACAGGACAUGUGACUAUUAUAAGAUGGGAGUAGGGUACCAUAUCCAGAAUGCUUUAGUGACUGCUGUGUUUAGGACAUGUUGCUAGGCUGAGAGGGAGCAGGGUAUCAUACCCAGAAUGAUUUGGGCAGCAGGUGCCCUGCAGGUUUUGUACAGGUGGCUAGUGUAAGAUAAGAUGUGGCUAGUGUAAGAUUACCAUACCCAGAAUGAUUUGGGUGACAGGUGGCCCUGCUGGUUGGGUACAGGACAUGUGGCUAGCAUAAGAUGGGAGUAGACUACCAUUCCCAUAAUGCUUUGGGUGUCACAGAGCUGUCAGCACUCAUGGCAUGUGACCCUAUACAUAGGAAUAACACACUGGACACUUUAUAAGUAGACAGGAAGGUACUCCAGCAAAGCUUUCAUCUCAGAGAAUGUAGCUGAGGACAGAGCUUGUUGUGUAUAAGGCACUGGGAGUACUUUACUAGAUAAUUCUGUUAUUUGUGAUACUUUAUCAGAAACAUUCAGAUACAGUGUUAUUAUUGUACAUUUAUUGCACACAGUGCAGUGAGCUGCCUCCAUAUAAAUCACACACUCCACCUGCAGCUCAAAGUUUAUUUGUUUCGUUUCCUAGCUGUGCCUGCCAUGCUGAACUUUAUCCCUUCUUUCCCUGUGUUGUUGCCUCCCCUGUAUUUAUUUAUUUACUGCAGCCGCAGACUGUAUGGGGAGCCUGUCCCAAUACUGCCAUCACCCCAGGCUUCCUGCAAGUUUACUUUCCAUUUCCCAUUGACCAUACGUAUGAUUGUACAUGUAAAUUCAAAUGACAUGUAAACAAUGAGCAUUGUUCAUUUCAUGUGGGCUUGCUCUAUAUUUAUCUCCAUUACUUUAUUGUAACACGUGCUAUUAUUCCCUUACUGUAUUUACAGGGUGCAUUGCUUAUGCUGACACUUUGUUUCACCCUCUAUAGGCCUACACUACACCAAAUAUCCUGAUUAUUCUUUAAUCGCAAACAUUCCUUGUUUGUGCUUAUAUGGUGCCUGUACACAUGAUUUGUCACACUGGCGUAGAUCCCUCUGGCACACAACUGGUUAAUGCAAUUGUCGUCAUGCAUACUCUUAUCCUGUAUUGCUUAGAAACCAUAGAUUGUAUAUCUUGUGUAGGGAACACGUGCAUACAUGUGUGUGUAUAUAGGUUAUAUGAUGUCAGAAAUUGUGACGUUAAUAUUUGCAUGCCAAAAAAUACAUAAAUAUGCCCAAAUACAAUUAUUACUGAUUAUUCGUCUUAUUUAAACUUGGCCAACAAACUCAGAGCAGCACAGUUAAAUAGUGGCAGAUUGUUACGUCUGGGACUGUGUAGUAUUUGAGUACUUUGAAAACUAUAGGAAAAAGCUAGAAUUUCAUGUUGUACCUGAUCUGACUGUAUUUUGAUGACCUACAAGAUAUAGAACACGGUGACCUAUCAUUAAUGCAAGCUGAGAUAAAUGGAUUAACUGAAUAACUUGGGGAUCUGGGGUAGCUGUCCAGCUCUGGUAGUACUUACAUUUUCUCUAAUCAUUUUACAAGGAAAUGAGUGUGUCUGCCUGGGCAUCAUGGUGUUUGUAAUUCCUCACCAACUUUGAAAGCUAAAUUGGUUACCGCUCAUCUAUAGGUUAACUGAUUUUAUUCAUCUAAACGUGCUGCCUUAGCGUACUGCGUACAGGUAUAAGUUCAAAUAGAUCUUUCCAUAGAAAUUAUUUCAAUUUUUAAUUGCAUGACAAUUCUAGUGAAAGUUGCUAGUGAAAAGUUAGAAAGUGAAUCCGCUAUCACCUGCCUCUUCAAAUAACAUACUUGUUACUAGGCCUCUUUACUUUUUGUUUUGAGAAAUCCUGUAAAAUAAAUCUAAAACUUAUUUUGAAUCCAUCCAGUUUCUUCCCUGCCUUCUCCCUCAGUACACUGCGUCACAGAUCCCCUCUCCGAGGUCCAAUCAAAUGCUUCUCUUUGAGAAGCAUUGUUGAACCUUGUGAGCAUGUGCUCAGUGAACUGCCAAUCAUCGUCUUCUGAUAGAGAGGUGCACUUGUUUUGCUUAAGCAUUUUGUGUUACAAACAUUAAACAGUACAAAUUUGUAAGUUAAAAAAGGGAAUCAGCAGCAAUUAUAGUUUACAUUUUUAGAAUUCAAUCUCCUUUCCGUGUUUCUUUUUUUUUUUAACCCCUUUGCUUUAAACAAUUUCUCUUCUGAGCUUACUCAACAACAAUAUUGUAGAAAUAUAAAUAAUAUUUUUACAUGUAUUAAACAAUUAUGCAGUAAACUGAGACAUAUCAUAGCUGUAAAGGAAACAAAAUAUAGACUAGAAAACAAGUUGCAAAUAAAAUAGUAAUAAAAUAAAACACUGUCUUUAGAAUAUAACUGAUAAAAGCCUAAAUCUUGGUCCACUGAUAUACUUCGGUGUCUAUAGCCUGUCCCUGCAGAGAAAAGGCAGUGUUUACAUUGCUGCCUAGGUACACCUCUAAAGAGAUGCAUUGACUCAAUGUAUCUCUAUUAAGGAGAUGCUGAGUGCAGUGCUGCGUUUUGCCGCGCAUGUGCAAUAUCCUCACAAUGCCUUCCUAUGGGAAAGCAUUGGAUUGGAUGAGAUCAUUAAGAUUGAUGAUCUCAGCCAUUGAGGCGGGGCCAGCAGCGUUGAGACUGGAGUGGCAAUGGAGAAAAGGUGAGUAAAGCCAGUCACCUAAACAGUUAGUCUAACACUAGAGUGUUAGGAAUACGUGUUUUAAUUUCUGACACUCUAAUGUUCCUUUAACCCCUUAAGGACACAUGACAUGUGUGAAAUGUCAUGAUUCCCUUUUAUUACAGCAGUUUGGUCCUUAAGGGGUUAAACUUCGUAUUUUUGUAAUUUCGGUAUUAUAAGAGGAAAGCAUAGGUGCUAAAUACUCUUCUGGCACAGUCAUGACAGUAGUGCUAUUUACUUAAAUGUGAAUUGUCAGGUGUUCUAAGUGAAUUUCAAAUGUAAGGCCAUAAUGCAAUUUAUUUAUUUAUAAAAUAUUUUACCAGGAAGGAUACAUUGAUAUUCAUUUUCAAGUAUGUCCUGGAUCUACAAACACUGCAUUGUUACUGUAGGGGACAAUAUAAUAUUACAAAAAAUAAUACAAUAUACAUACACACAUAUAUAAAUUUAACACAUAGCAGGUAAUAAAUAUAACCAACCAUGACAGGUGCAUGGGGUUUGAAUGUUGAUACAUAGUAUAAAUGAAAAUGAUAUAUAGUAUAAAUAAAACACAAAACAACUUUGGCGAAUGGCCGUGACUUUUAUUACGGAUUUCACAAUUCCAAAUUAAAUAUCCAUAAUAAUAAUAAUAAUAAUAAACCGUAAAUUUAAACCAAAUAACCAAUAACCAUUAACCAUUUCCAGGCUCCGCCCCUUAAAGCCAGGAGCCAGAAAUAUAUAUUUACUACCAAAUAAACCACGUCCACCCUCCUGUGAUGCCCAGGAGGUUGACUUAUAUCCCAUAAUAAAGUCACAAUAGGAUCCCUAAAAGAAAAAAGGGGAGGGUGGGUGGGGCUGCAGCCUUUAAUUGUCUGCCGCAAGGUGAAUUAAUUUUUUGGCGCCUUUAAAUUUAUACCCGCUAUAUUAUUCACCCUUUCAAGUUGUUUAAUAUUUUUGGAUACACUCUUCAAAUUAUUUAUUAUUCAAAAAAAAUUAUUUUAAUAUUUUAAUAUUUGUUUUGACAAAUUGAUAUAUUUUUAAAAUGAUAUAUUUUUUUAUAUUUUAAUAUUUAAAAAAAUAUAUAUUUUAAAAGUUUAUUAAAAAAUAGUAAAUCAUUUGAAAAGCGUAUCCAGAAAUAUUGAACCGAGGACAUUGUUGGAAGAUAUAUAUUAGAUAUUAACAGUUUAAAAGUUUGAAAACUUUAAAUAGCAUAUCCCAAGACUCCUAAAUGGGACAAUACAAUUCCCUAAACACAUGGAAGCCUGUGCAUUAGGGGCUUCAGUUGAUGUACAAAGAAAUGGUGGGCAGGUUUUGCUAAAUAAGUUAUAUUUUUGAAGCGUGAUCUAUUUCUUCAAAAAAGUUAUUCCCUAAAGUAUACAUUUUUGGACAGUCAAAGAGAAUUCCAAAUGAGUCUGGCUAUUUUUCCUAGAACAUGAAAAUCACGUUUAAACUUUAGAGAAAUAACCCACGAACCAACAACGUUUAUAUUUUGAUCAAUUCAUUUUCCUCAUAUUGUUAGAUACAUUGUUAAUAUUUUACAUUACAGUUCUUUAUUGCAGAAAAUGUUUUUUUUUUUUUUAAUGAAGUAUGUCUGUCUAUGUUAUAAAGCAGCCUCUCGUCUCAAUUACCCAUAACGUUUUAGAUUGUAAGCUCUUGAACCAUCUUGCUGAACCCUUUGUAUAAAGCAGCUGUAGAUGCUAAAUUUUAGUUUCUGUAUGAGGCCCCCUGCUUUUGCCCUAUUUUACAGAUCUGUGUCUUAUGUCGGUGCGUUAUAACUAAUGAUAAUUUAUUUAUCUUUUUUGUACAGAGCGCUUGUCAAAGUUGACUCUGGAAGAGAGGCGUAAGGAAUACAAGGAUUUUGUAUCACUGGACAAAAUUCCAACAUUGUCGGAAGAUUUGAAGAGUAAAGCCUCGAAUAAUG